RNAcentral lists this ribosomal RNA (403 nucleotides) under Papilio helenus biseriatus. RNAcentral describes it as "partial 16S ribosomal RNA". The record is from RNAcentral. Lineage: Eukaryota; Metazoa; Arthropoda; Insecta; Lepidoptera; Papilionidae.
GGGCUGCMSUAUUUUGACUGUACAAAGGUAGCAUAAUCAAUAGUCUCUUAAUUGGUGACUUGUAUGAAAGAUUGGAUGAAAUAUAUACUGUCUCUMAUUAAUUUAUAGAAAUUAAUUUUUUAGUAAAAAAGCUAAAAUAAUUUUAAAAGACGAGAAGACCCUAUAGAGUUUAAUAAUUUAUUUAAUUAUAUUUAUUAUAUAAUUUUUAAAAUUAAAAUUAAAUGAAUUAUUUUGUUGGGGUGAUAGAAAAAUUAAAUUAACUUUUUUUAAUUGUUAACCUUAAUUUAUGAACAAAUGAUCCMUUAAUAAUGAUUAAAAGAAAAAAUUACCUUAGGGAUAACAGCGUAAUUUUUUUUUUUAGUUCMAAURGGAAAAAAAGUUUGCGACCUCGAUGUUGGAUUAA